Molecule: long non-coding RNA, 165 nt
Filed under: Rhagoletis pomonella (apple maggot)
Lineage: Eukaryota; Metazoa; Arthropoda; Insecta; Diptera; Tephritidae
Description: uncharacterized LOC118750002
Source: RNAcentral
GUAACACUAAAGGAUUUAAACGUUUAAUUCCCCUAUCUCAUGAGGUAUCAAAACUUUUCUCGUGGAAGGGAACUGGUACCAAAAGCAGCGCUAUUGGUUAGGCAACGACUGCGGCAAUAAGAAGUGCUUUUCGUCAAAAAUUUAACUCCCACGAAGAAGUUUUUA